RNAcentral lists this long non-coding RNA (302 nucleotides) under Physcomitrium patens. RNAcentral's name for it is "long non-coding RNA (PPAT_LNC001896)". The record is from RNAcentral. Lineage: Eukaryota; Viridiplantae; Streptophyta; Bryopsida; Funariales; Funariaceae.
AUUCUAAAAAAAUUAUAAAUUAAAUCCUAAUGAAAUCCUAAUGAAAUUCUAACCAAAUCCUAAUCAAACUCUAAACCAAAUUUUAAUCAAAUCUUAUUAAAUUCUAAAUACUAAAUCAAAUCCUAAAAAAAUUCUAAUCAAAUCCUAAUAAAAUCCUAUCAAAUUCUAAAUCCUAAAUCAAAUCCUAAUAAAAUCCAAAACAAUCGAAAAAAAAAUUCUAAGUAAAUCUUAAUAACUUCUUAAAGCUAUUUCAAAAUAUCAAUAAAUAUUAAUCAAACUAUUGCUCUUGACCAAAAUUUCAU